CCUACGGGUGGCUGCAGUGGGGAAUAUUGCACAAUGGGGAAAACCCUGAUGCAGCUACUCCGCGUGUGUGAAGAAGUCAUUCGUUAUGUAAAGCUCUAUCAGCAGGGAAGAAAAUGACGUUACCUGAGUAAGACUCCCCGGCUAACUACGUGCCAGCAGCCGCGGUAAUACGUAGGGGGCAAGCGUUAGCCGGAUUGACUGGGGGGAAGGGGAGCGUAGACGGCAGUGCAAGACUGGAGUGAAAGGCGGGGGCUCAACCCCCGGACUGCUCUGGAGACUGUACGGCUGGAGUGCAGGAGAGGUAAGUGGAAUUCCUAGUGUAGCAGUGAAAUGCGUAGAUAUGAGGAGGAACACCAGUGGCGAAGGCGGCUUACUGGACUGUAACUGACGUUGAGGCUCGAAAGCGUGGGGAGCAAACAGGAUUAGAUACCCCAGUAGUC
Molecule: ribosomal RNA, 440 nt
Filed under: uncultured bacterium
Lineage: Bacteria
Description: partial 16S ribosomal RNA
Rfam family: Bacterial small subunit ribosomal RNA
Source: RNAcentral